RNAcentral lists this transfer RNA (85 nucleotides) under Leucogyrophana mollusca. Its description in RNAcentral is "tRNA-Ala". It matches the Rfam family "tRNA". Rfam says of the family: Transfer RNA (tRNA) molecules are approximately 80 nucleotides in length. Lineage: Eukaryota; Fungi; Basidiomycota; Agaricomycetes; Boletales. The record is from RNAcentral.
GGGCAUAUGGUGUAGCUGGUUAUCACGCCCGCUUAGCAUUAAGCUGAGUUGCGGGCGGUCUCCGGUUCGAGUCCGGAUUUGUCCA